GGAGGGAUCGCAUAGUGGCCUAGUGCAGCGGUUUACUAAACCGCCAUAGCGCAAGCUAUCCAGGGUUCGAAUCCCUGUCCCUCCG
Molecule: transfer RNA, 85 nt
Filed under: candidate division TM6 bacterium GW2011_GWF2_28_16
Lineage: Bacteria
Also listed under: 1 other name
Description: tRNA-Ser
Rfam family: tRNA
About the family: Transfer RNA (tRNA) molecules are approximately 80 nucleotides in length. Their secondary structure includes four short double-helical elements and three loops (D, anti-codon, and T loops).
Source: RNAcentral